Molecule: ribosomal RNA, 736 nt
Filed under: Bacillus sp. (in: firmicutes)
Lineage: Bacteria; Bacillati; Bacillota; Bacilli; Caryophanales; Bacillaceae
Description: bacterial SSU rRNA
Rfam family: Bacterial small subunit ribosomal RNA
Source: RNAcentral
GAUGGGAGCUUGCUCCCUGAGAUCAGCGGCGGACGGGUGAGUAACACGUGGGUAACCUGCCUGUAAGACUGGGAUAACUCCGGGAAACCGGGGCUAAUACCGGAUAACACCUACCCCCGCAUGGGGGAAGGUUGAAAGGUGGCUUCGGCUAUCACUUACAGAUGGACCCGCGGCGCAUUAGCUAGUUGGUGAGGUAAUGGCUCACCAAGGCGACGAUGCGUAGCCGACCUGAGAGGGUGAUCGGCCACACUGGGACUGAGACACGGCCCAGACUCCUACGGGAGGCAGCAGUAGGGAAUCUUCCGCAAUGGACGAAAGUCUGACGGAGCAACGCCGCGUGAGUGAAGAAGGUUUUCGGAUCGUAAAACUCUGUUGUUAGGGAAGAACAAGUGCCGUUCGAAUAGGGCGGCGCCUUGACGGUACCUAACCAGAAAGCCACGGCUAACUACGUGCCAGCAGCCGCGGUAAUACGUAGGUGGCAAGCGUUGUCCGGAAUUAUUGGGCGUAAAGCGCGCGCAGGUGGUUUCUUAAGUCUGAUGUGAAAGCCCACGGCUCAACCGUGGGAGGGUCAUUGGAAACUGGGGAACUUGAGUGCAGAAGAGGAAAGUGGAAUUCCAAGUGUAGCGGUGAAAUGCGUAGAUAUUUGGGAGGAACACCAGUGGGCGAAAGGCGACUUUCUGGUCUGUAACUGACACUGAGGCGCGAAAGCGUGGGGAGCAAACAGGAUUAGAUACCC